Long non-coding RNA from Octopus sinensis (East Asian common octopus), 426 nucleotides. RefSeq lists it as uncharacterized. Lineage: Eukaryota; Metazoa; Mollusca; Cephalopoda; Octopoda; Octopodidae. The transcript has 3 exons. The record is from RefSeq and is a predicted model, not a curated record.
UUUCCCUUGGAUAACAUCAGUGGUGUGGAGAGAGGAGGCCGGUAUGCAUGGGCUACUGCUGGUCUUCUAUAAACAACCUUGUCUGGACUUGUGCCUUGGAGGGUAAUUUUCUAGGUGCAAUCCCAUGGUCAUUCAAGACCAAAGGGAAUCUUUACAAUGGGAUGAGGUGGUGAAGCACAACCCUCGAACGUUGGGCCUCACAGAGGCAAAGGCAAAAUACCGAGACCUUUGGAGAUACGCUGUGAUUGAGAAGAUUGUUGUUUGUGAGUGUAAGAGUUAAUCUGUUGCUUGGUUUCACAUCACCACCCAACUCCUGAGUGCCCAUGCCUUGAUGCACACUCCAAUUCGAGCCAGGUUUCUUGUCUGAGGAUAACUUCUUCCCACCAGUCUAAGGAGUCCUGUAAAGAAAGAGUGUAGGUCUCGGUG